This 310-nucleotide long non-coding RNA is filed under the name Elaeis guineensis (African oil palm). Its description in RNAcentral is "long non-coding RNA (EGUI_LNC065861)". The record is from RNAcentral. Lineage: Eukaryota; Viridiplantae; Streptophyta; Magnoliopsida; Arecales; Arecaceae.
AUAAGCGAAUGAAAUCAAUUAAAUAACCACCUUCCUUCAGAAUGUAGUCCUUGAACCACUUUCCUAGACACCAGUCAAAUUGACUAACCCUAACCCAAUCUUAUUCUUAGGAUCCCUUGUCCUAUUGAGCUCGAAAGUCCUUAGGGGCCAAUGUCUAAUUGAUUUUAAGUUAAGGUUUAGGUCAAUGCAAUAUGCAGGAUGGUGGUUUGUGGGCCAAGAAAAGAUGAUGAAAUCUCCACCUUAUCUUAUUUAGGAUUUGUGCCCUUAACAUGUUUUAUAGAAUUAUGCAAUGCAAAAAGAAAAGGUGACC